This 126-nucleotide microRNA precursor is filed under the name Myotis brandtii (Brandt's bat). RNAcentral's name for it is "mir-9193 microRNA precursor family". It matches the Rfam family "mir-9193 microRNA precursor family". Lineage: Eukaryota; Metazoa; Chordata; Mammalia; Chiroptera; Vespertilionidae. The record is from Rfam by way of RNAcentral.
CUUGCACCAGUGGGGUCCCUCAGCCUGGCCUGUGCCUUCUCCCAAUCCAGGACCCCUCAGGGGAUGUCAGAGAGCCAGUUUGGGCCUGAUCCUGCAGGCCAGGCCGAGGGACCCCACUGGUGCAUG